GGGGUUGUGGCUUAGUGGUAGAGCGCACGCCUUGCACGUGCGAGACCCUGGGUUCGAUCCUCAGUACCCUG
RNAcentral lists this transfer RNA (71 nucleotides) under Ictidomys tridecemlineatus (thirteen-lined ground squirrel). Its description in RNAcentral is "Spermophilus tridecemlineatus (thirteen-lined ground squirrel) tRNA". It matches the Rfam family "tRNA". Rfam says of the family: Transfer RNA (tRNA) molecules are approximately 80 nucleotides in length. Their secondary structure includes four short double-helical elements and three loops (D, anti-codon, and T loops). Lineage: Eukaryota; Metazoa; Chordata; Mammalia; Rodentia; Sciuridae. The record is from Rfam by way of RNAcentral.